CUCCUCCUUUUUAUUUUUUUCUAUUUUAUUAAAGUAAAUCAAACAAAUCAAUGCAACAAAAAUAUCUGCUUUCUCUGCACCAUGCACUAAACCGGCAACCCUCUGGAUGUUUUGGACUACAACUCCCAGAACCCACCCCCACCAGCCCAAAAACUAUAGCCCAAAACAUCUGGCGUGUUGAGCUUGGCAAAGGCUGUCUUAGAAUAGAACCUCCCCAGCCAUCUUCUGUAAGUGCACAGAUCAGCAAGCACCCCUUAUCUUCUGCAGAACACAAUGUGAACAACAGCCUUCUAGGGCUGGGCCCUGCCUCACACUAAGGUUGCAGUCCAUACACACUGGAUCGGCCUGUAUUUUUCCGCUAUCCUUGUGUAUGGGCCUGGUUCUGCCAAAUUUAUAGGGCGUGGGUAAUUCUCUUUUGCUUCAAUAUUAAAAAGGCCUGGCCAUUUCAUGCCCUAUGGAAUGUAUUUUAUAUUUUCCUUUCCUUUCCACCCCUAUUGCGAAGCAAAUUCUCACAUACCCUGCUGCGGGAGGUAUUUGGGAGAGCUGAGCUGGGCAAACAGGGCAAGGUGCAGCGAGGAGUCAGUUCCUUUCAUCUUAUUUUCUUUUCGUCGAGUCUCCUGCAAAUCAGCACAAGGAGGAAGGGAAAGCAGAUGGUGUUUAUUACGGCGGACCGAGUGCGAGGAAAGAAAAGCGGGGAGACGGGGGGAAAGAGCAUAGCCCGUCCUAUUGUGCUCUAAAUUAGUUGCAGGCCGAUGGCUGGGCUGUGACAAAUUCCAUAUGCUGCCGGGACUCAUUGUUGUGUGAGAAAGGGCGACAAUUUAUCGCCAGCCAAGAGGGACAAAGGACUUUGCAGAGUCGAAUGCCACUUUCAUGGGAUUAUGUGUGUGUUGUGUGUACGUGCGGGUAUUAUUCAUGUGUGUUUGCAUGUACGUAAGAGAUAUUUGUGAGCUGAGUGGUUUUGGAGUGUUUUUCACAAAGGCCCAUAAUGGCCAACAGACUUCCAUGAGAAACAGCUUCCCCACCAUUAUAGAGCUCCCCAG
Molecule: long non-coding RNA, 1040 nt
Filed under: Podarcis lilfordi (Lilford's wall lizard)
Lineage: Eukaryota; Metazoa; Chordata; Lepidosauria; Squamata; Lacertidae
Source: RNAcentral